ACUGCGGAAGGGCGUCCUUAUUUCACUAGGGCUGUGUUCAGCAUGGGGGUGCGUUCCCUGGUGAGAACCCCCUAGACCCCCAGGCACUGUGUAAGAGGUGUGUGUAAGGGAGGGCAGUGGUUGAGCAGCCCUGGUGACCCUGAAGAAAGGGGUCCCGGACAUGGGAGUCUUGGGGCGCAGGGAGGUGCAGGAAAGAGAGACCUCAUCAGCACACUGCACCCACUCUGGCUGCUCUAAGCAGCAGAGGAGCAGGAGCUUCUGUGUCUGCACAGGGGAAGUGGGCAGAGCUCAGGCAGUGUUGGGAACGCGGCCUGGGAAAUUCAUUCUGUGGUCCUCCGGGCUAAGAAUCGCGGGAAAGCAGCCUUGGCUCCAGGCCGGGUCCUACAGAGCCCGGGUUGCUCGGUCUGGGCCGCCCGCUCCGGAUAGAAAGCAGAGAGGCCUGCGCACGCGCCCGGGCAUCCCUGCCCUGGUGAGGAGAACAGCGGUGCAGAGGCGGCGGCGACCGGGAUAAGGACGGAACAGCACCGCCUUCCCCGCAGCACAGCUGUGCCUGCCCACGCAGAGAGGUGACCGGCUGAGAACUGGGUCCUGGCGCCCGCUCCCCUAGUCAGCCUUCGCAGACCUGAGUUUCCCGCAGGAGCCUCAGCCCGGCGCAGGGCCCUCAGCGUCCCGAGUGUAGUCUGACGGUGGGCCUGUCUGCGCGUGCGCACUCCGCCCCUGCCCCGGAAGCUUGAGCCCUUUCCUGCGCAGGCUGCAGCUCCCGGCGCCUCCUCCUCCUCUUCUAUUCCCCUCCUGCUGCAGGAAGUCGUCGGCUCCGCGCUGAGGCAGUGCUUACGCGGCUCUCCUGGCUCACCCCUCUCGGCCUUUGCUCCUCCCCGCUAGACCGUCGUUCUGGGAGGACAGCGAGGGAGGGGAGAUCCCGGGUCCUGGGACCACAGUCCUAUGUAAAAGGGGUGGUAAUGAAGACGGAGCGGCCAAGACUCGGUUCCUGAGGCUCGGACUGGGCAGCAGGGUCCUUGGCCUCCCAGGCCCCGCCGCCUGGUCCCUGCAGCGAGUCCGACCUGCUGAGCGCGCCUAGGGCCAAGGGGGCCACGCACAGCCGCUCCAGCGCUGCUUCUCUGCUGCUGGACACAGGGCACCGCAGCCCUGAGGCUGCGGUGGGGUUCAUGGGGCUCCUGGAUUCGGGCUUCAGUCCAGGGUCUGCAGGCUGGGGCAGAAAAAUCAGGAUGGCGAUGCCUGCUGGGGCAGAUUCUCCAGAUCCUGGAGGGAAAACGAGCACGGACGGCGCAGGACAGCAGCGAUGAGAAGCCAGAAUGGGCUGAGGUCCCUGCUGCAGGACCGCGGGCACCGCGCAGGUGCGCGGCUCAUCCGCUAGGGGGACGCGCAGGUCAUCCGCUAGGGGGACUGUGUGGGAUUCUGACAGGAAGAAAUUACCGUGCUUUGUUCUUUAUAUCAUGAAAGUGGAAACUGCUGAACUGACACAUAGAUUUCUUAGCAUUAGAGGCUGUCUCUGAACCUGUGACCCUAAGUGCUCCCCUGUCCAUCAUGCUUUGAUUAUAAAAGUGAAUGUCCCCAAGCUCAGCGUGACUCCUGAGAGUUUUACUACAUGGAGAGCCAGUUGUCCUUCCCUGAGGAGUUCUAGCUGGGAUUGUGGCCGACCUGUCCUGUCCUAGGCUACUGGCAUAGCUCCAUGGUGCCGGCGCAGGUCCUGUGUCCCCGGAACCCACUGGAUAUCUCGAGACACUCUCACCAUUAAGUGAGUGACCACCAGUGUUUUGGAGCAGUGAGCAGGACCAUCGAGCACCGGAGGUGAUGAAGCUGUUAUCCUGCUGUCUUCAUCCUUCAACCGGGACGAUGUAGAACAGCACGGGACUCACGCUGCUGCCCAACUGUCCGCAGCUUUCCAGCUGGUGAUGUGAGAGCUAAAAGCACCCAGGGUUGGAGCCAGAGUACAAUAUAAGGAAGAGAAGAGGCCUUUCCGUUUUGUGAUUUGGCUCCUGGACACAUGUCAGCCAUGCUGCCCUGCCUUGGAGCCAGCUGAGUAUGGACUCAAACCUCCGUAAAGUGAGAGUGACCAUAGUGGACUGACCUGGACCAUGGCUGUGACAGAGCAAGGACAGGAUCCCACCUCCCCCUGAACCCCUUCGAUGCAGCUCUGGGCCCUGGGUUUCAGGCCCCGCCUGCUCUGGCUACUGCUGCCCUGGUCAGGUACAGGUCUUUCAGGAUUAAGAAGACUGUAAGACAGUAAGAUUAAAUACCAUUUCUGACAUGGAAAUUGGUCUGAUUUAGUACAACUGCAACGCAGACAGAGAUUGACUGAAAUAAUGUGAUGCUCAAUUCAAAUGAAAACCACCAAAUGGAAGCUCUGCUCAUCUCCUGUCCAAACUCAUCAAGCUGGCUGACCUGGAGUCUUUUCCGUCUGGUCAGAGAGCUACCACCAUGCCUGUCAUGCUCUCAGCAAUGACAAUGUGAUCUUCUUAUUCACCUCCAGGGAAGAUCCAAGGGAAGAUAUCAAGGUCAACAGUCAUUGCCCAGGUGGGAGAAGGGGCUGUGCUUCCCUGUCACCUCAGCCCACCCAUGGAUGCUCAAAACAUGGAGAUCAGAUGGUACUGGGUCCAGCAAUCACUAC
Long non-coding RNA from Cavia porcellus (domestic guinea pig), 2629 nucleotides. RefSeq lists it as uncharacterized. The record is from RefSeq and is a predicted model, not a curated record. Lineage: Eukaryota; Metazoa; Chordata; Mammalia; Rodentia; Caviidae. The transcript is spliced from 5 exons.